Molecule: ribosomal RNA, 406 nt
Filed under: uncultured bacterium
Lineage: Bacteria
Description: partial 16S ribosomal RNA
Rfam family: Bacterial small subunit ribosomal RNA
Source: RNAcentral
GACGAACGCUGGCGGCGUGCCUAACACAUGCAAGUCGAACGAGCGGCGGACGGGUGAGUAAUGUAUGGGGAACUGCCCGAUGGAGGGGGAUAACUACUGGAAACGGUGGCUAAUACCGCAUACCAUCGGAUGUGCCCAGAUGGGAUUAGCUUGUUGGUGGGGUAAAGGCUCACCAAGGCGAAGAUCCCUAGCUGGUCUGAGAGGGUGACCAGCCACACUGGGACGGAGCCACGGCCCAGACUCCUACGGGAGGCAGCAGUGGGGAAUCUUCGACAAUGGACGAAAGUCUGACCGAGCAAUGCCGCGUGAGUGAAGAAGGUUUUCGGAUCGUAAAACACUGUUGUUGGAGAAGCGGUAUCUAACGAGAAAGCCACGGCUAACUACGUGCCAGCAGCCGCGGUAAUAC